Molecule: long non-coding RNA, 1286 nt
Filed under: Apteryx rowi (Okarito brown kiwi)
Lineage: Eukaryota; Metazoa; Chordata; Aves; Apterygiformes; Apterygidae
Description: lncRNA (ENSARWG00000014354.1)
Source: RNAcentral
GAAUUCUCGGAAGUUAAACUUCAAGCACCCUCGUAGCUCGAGCUAUUUCAUUUUCCUGCACUACCAGACUGACAGUGUGGUGUCCUGAAUUAGCAUCUUCUAAGUCUACAGAUAUUCUGAAGUGGACCUCUUUGCAUCAGAUAUCAGAAGACAAUUUCUGACCUUCUCUGAAACAAACCAGCAUCCUGAUUUCUUGCCAUAAGUGCUUCACAUUUGGGUGAAGGCAGGCUGAUUAUUUUGUGAUGCAGAACCAAUGAGUCAGUAGCAAAAAAAACAGGCCCAGAAGCUGCCCCCUUUGGACACAGUCAGCAGGACAUAGACCAAGAUGUCUUCAACCACAAAGAUUCACUUGCUGGGUUCUUCCCCUGGAUGCAGGAUGAAAGGGUAGGGAUUACAGUGGGAGCUGCUUUGAGGAGCAAAUGUGGUGAGGUAAGGCUGGAGCAGGAACUGCUCUAAUGGUGGAGAACAACUUCAAAAGAAAUAGUAAGAACAGGUUAAAGAGGACUGUAAAGAGACACAGCUUAUGGAGCUAGGCAGUGAAGGAGCUCAGUGUUAAUGUUCUUAGCAGAAACAGCUGAGGAAAAUGUUUGAAAGAUGGACAGUGCUUCAGAUCAGAGUUGAGGUGGGGUUAGCUCAACAGUCUAGUGCAGCAGCUGCUAAUUAGCAGCUGCCUGUUAGCUCUCAGGUGGGACUGAGCAGCCUGAUGGGGUGGGGGAAGCAAGGGGGCCUUGCAGGCUGGCUGGGAAAGACAGCUGUGAGGAGCAGUGUGAGGAAGACAGCAGGUCUCAGUGCUGUGUGGUUUGGAGGAGUGGCAGGGUGCUGAGUAGAAUUUGUGGGGAGCAAGUACUAAGCAAGAUGUUGGGGAGGAGAAGCUGCAAGGAAGAAUACUCAUGGAAAGUAAUUGCUGUGGGAGAGGGAAGAGAGCUGCUGGGCUGAGCUGGAAGUCUUUGGUGGCACUGCUAGUUACCUGCUGAGUGCAGUGAAGACCUGCAAACCUGGUUCCAGUGCUGUGUUGAUUGCAAACUGGGCUGUUCCUGCUUUCUCCCUUUCCCAGGUGACAUCUGUGAAUUCUUCCAGGACAGCUGCAAGGCCAGCUUGCUCAGCAGUCACAGUCACAGUCUGCUGCUUGAAUUCCUCUGUGAGAUGGUUGCCUAUGUCUUCCUGUAUGCCUGUUUCCUGCUGAAAGAAUGAAGUGAUAAUCUUCUUGGUGUCCAAAUGUUUUCCUGUGUGAUCAAUGAAGCGGCUUGUCUUACAGCUGGGGAACAGUGUAAGCCUCAGAAUGUGAG